CUUAAGCAUAUUAAUAAGCGGUGGAAAAGAAACCAACAGGGAUUCCCUUAGUAACGGCGAGUGAAGAGGGAGGUAGCCCAGCGCUGAAUCGUAUUGCUUGAAAGAGUGAAACGACAUGUAGCGUGAAGCCGGCAAUUUGUAGCUGUUAUCAAUGCGUGUAAGUCUCCCUGAGCGGGGCUCAGUCCCAGAGAUGGUGCAAGGCCCGUAUCGCGCGUGAUAAGUACAGCUACAUCUGCUUGCGGAGAGUCAGGUUGCUUGGGAACGCAAUCUAAAGCCGGUGGUACACUCCAUCGAAGGCUAAAUAUUACCACGAGUCCGAUAGCGAACAAGUACCGUGAGGGAAAAUUGAAAAGCACUUUGAAGAGAGAGCGAAACAGUGCGUGAAACCGCUCAGAGGCAAGCAGAUGGGACCUCGAAGGUGUAUAUAGGAUUACAUUCUUUAUCGCACGCCACCACUGUUGUUGACGUGCGCCAUGCGCUAACAUUUGGACGCCUGAGAUUGGGACUCGUGCCUGCUUGGGACGCUCGGUGUUGGAUGCUAUGAGUGUUUGCGGCAUGCAAUAACAGAGCAGGGCUCUGUCGUCGCUGUAAAGCGCCGGCUGUGGCUGCUUGCUGACGUACCUCGUGUAGGCGAGGCGCAAGCUUCGACAUACGUUGUAUGUUGCAACUCGGCCAUUAGCACCGGCAAGACGACAUUAAGACCCGGUGGCGAGUAGACGGUCUCCCAUUUAACCCGUCUUGAAACACGGGACCAAAGGGA
Molecule: ribosomal RNA, 760 nt
Filed under: Hypechiniscus gladiator
Lineage: Eukaryota; Metazoa; Tardigrada; Heterotardigrada; Echiniscoidea; Echiniscidae
Description: partial large subunit ribosomal RNA
Rfam family: Eukaryotic large subunit ribosomal RNA
Source: RNAcentral